GUGAGGAAUAUUGGUCAAUGGGCGGGAGCCUGAACCAGCCAAGUCGCGUGAAGGAAGAAGGAUCUAUGGUUCGUAAACUUCUUUUGCAGGGGAAUAAAGUGCAGGACGUGUCCUGUUUUGUAUGUACCCUGAGAAUAAGGAUCGGCUAACUCCGUGCCAGCAGCCGCGGUAAUACGGAGGAUCCGAGCGUUAUCCGGAUUUAUUGGGUUUAAAGGGUGCGUAGGUGGUUUGAUAAGUCAGCGGUGAAAGUUUGCAGCUUAACUGUAAAAAUGCCGUUGAAACUGUCGGACUUGAGUGUAGAUGAGGUAGGCGGAAUGCGUGGUGUAGCGGUGAAAUGCAUAGAUAUCACGCAGAACUCCGAUUGCGAAGGCAGCUUACUAAGCUACAACUGACACUGAAGCACGAAAGCGUGGGGAUCAAACAGGAUUAGAAACCCUUGUAGUCC
RNAcentral lists this ribosomal RNA (445 nucleotides) under uncultured bacterium. RNAcentral describes it as "partial 16S ribosomal RNA". It matches the Rfam family "Bacterial small subunit ribosomal RNA", at positions 354 to 796 of the family's 1533-position model. The record is from RNAcentral.